ACGCUCGACACCUACGUGAGGCAGCAGUGGGGAAUAUUGCACAAUGGGGGAAACCCUGAUGCAGCGACGCCGCGUGAGCGAAGAAGUAUUUCGGUAUGUAAAGCUCUAUCAGCAGGGAAGAAACUGACGGUACCUGACUAAGAAGCACCGGCUAAAUACGUGCCAGCAGCCGACGGUAAUCUGAGGCCGGGCGUGGACGAAGGC
RNAcentral lists this ribosomal RNA (204 nucleotides) under uncultured bacterium. RNAcentral's name for it is "partial 16S ribosomal RNA". It matches the Rfam family "Bacterial small subunit ribosomal RNA", at positions 328 to 545 of the family's 1533-position model. The record is from RNAcentral.